This 253-nucleotide ribosomal RNA is filed under the name uncultured bacterium. RNAcentral describes it as "partial 16S ribosomal RNA". It matches the Rfam family "Bacterial small subunit ribosomal RNA", at positions 524 to 776 of the family's 1533-position model. The record is from RNAcentral.
AACGUAGGUUCCGAGCGUUAUCCGGAUUUACUGGGCGUAAAGCGCGUUCAGGUGGUUUGGCAAGUCGGGCAUGAAAUCUCUCGGCUCAACCGGGAGAGGUUGUCCGAUACUUCCAGACUUGAGGGCAGUAGAGGGUGGUGGAAUUCCGGGUGUAGUGGUGAAAUGCGUAGAUAUCCGGAGGAACACCAGUGGCGAAAGCGGCCACCUGGACUGCACCUGACGCUGAGGAGCGAAAGUGUGGGGAGCGAACAGG